GUGACAUAGCUGGGAUAAGUU
This 21-nucleotide microRNA is filed under the name Plutella xylostella (diamondback moth). RNAcentral's name for it is "pxy-miR-8536b-5p". Lineage: Eukaryota; Metazoa; Arthropoda; Insecta; Lepidoptera; Plutellidae. The record is from miRBase by way of RNAcentral.